AGGCAUGAGCCACCACACCAGGCUGAGGCUCUGCGUUUCUAACAAGCUGUCUGGUGACUACAGUGUGAGUGUGGGAACAGUGCUUUGAAAAGCCAGGCUUGAGAUGCCCCCUUACAGCCUGCAAGUGAUGUCCCUGCCUGCCUUGUGUUUGUGUGUGAUUAUAUUUGACCUAAGUUGUGCUGCUAUCAUUGUCACAGCUGAAAAGGGAUGAAGACAGCCAACUAUUAUGUGGCAGCCUUCUGGUUACCAAGAACAUGCACAAUUGUCAGAGCGGAAUCCAUGAGAUAGAAUUUAUGGGCACACAUACUUGGUGGACCAGAACUGGGAGCUGCGUGCCAUCAGCACUCCCUGUCUCUGCUCAUCCUUUCUUUCUGCUGCCUGGGCCUAACUUCUCUGGGCACAGGCUUUCUCCAGCAUCUUAGACUAAACACCAGCUAGAAUGUGGAGUUAGGCAAUCAAGUGUGAAACUUAACUUGUACUUGUCUUAGAAGCAGCAAAGGCAGCUGGGCCAGCUGAUAGACAAGGAACGCUGUCCUCCCAGAACCAGCCACGGGUGCAGAUGAUGGGCACUGCGGAGCCUGCUGUCUUACAGAAGCUGAUCCUGGAGGGUGCCUUUCAAUCCUCGAUGUCAGGAGGUUUUCUUUUAGAAAACAAUCUGAUUCAGAAUAAUGACUGCAAUUUUUCACUGGAUGGAAAACAAGUCUAGAGGAAUUGACCCUUAUUUUAAGUUCAAAGAUAGUAUAUCCUUGUUACUACUGUUACAUGUUUUAUAGCCAAUCUUCAAGACCACCUCUGGGCAAUGAAGUUAUUUGUGAUGGAAACACUUAGGUUCUUGAUUAAGUGAAUAUUAAAAAAAAAUCACUAUCAGAGAAAAGUAUACCUGAUACAAUGACUAGAACUGAAAAAUUAUGAACAAAUAGCAAAACAAUUAGUACUAUUUGACAAAAAGAAGUAAUCACCAAUAUAAAACUUUGGUAUGAUGUUCUAAACAUACGAAUAUCCACUUUUUAGCCAAACAUAAUGAUGCUUCUUUUGACACUGACUAUCCAACAUUUCUUGAGAAGAGUGGAUAGUUUCUAAGUCUAGAAGACAUGAUUUUGGAAUUUGAAGCUAGAAUGUCUGAACAUGUAGUACAGAUUAAAAAAAAACAAAUUAAAACUAUCUAGAAUGGCAAAAUAAAAAUGAAAUUAUCUUUUAA
This 1198-nucleotide long non-coding RNA is filed under the name Homo sapiens (human). RNAcentral's name for it is "HSALNT0346728". Lineage: Eukaryota; Metazoa; Chordata; Mammalia; Primates; Hominidae. The record is from RNAcentral.